GGGGCUGUAGCUCAAUUGGGAGAGCGCUUGAAUGGCAUUCAAGAGGUAAGGGGUUCAAAUCCCCUCAGCUCCACCU
Molecule: transfer RNA, 76 nt
Filed under: Chloroflexota bacterium
Lineage: Bacteria; Bacillati; Chloroflexota
Description: Chloroflexi bacterium (freshwater metagenome) tRNA-Ala
Rfam family: tRNA
About the family: Transfer RNA (tRNA) molecules are approximately 80 nucleotides in length. Their secondary structure includes four short double-helical elements and three loops (D, anti-codon, and T loops).
Source: RNAcentral